GGACUUACUGUUGGUGCUAUUAUAAUUCUAACCAAAGUUUUCAGGAACUAUGGAAGAUCAGGAGACUGAUGAUGCCUCAGAAGUAUGACCUCGUAAAUGACAAAAGGACACACAUUUAUGACAUUGACAGUUUUGCUUAUGAUGCUGGUAGCCACUGGCUACCUGACUUAGCCAAAGAAGAGGUAAGAAGAAAGUGCAUACAAGUACACAGAAUAUCCUAGCUUUUGUAAGUUUCUGGAAGCACGGACACAAUACAUGCAGUAGUGCUCUUCAUCUUGCACGUUAUCAGUGUCGUUAAGGUGCGCACGAAUGUCAAUAAAGCGAGAAGAAACUAAUCUGUCCUGGAAUCGCAUUCUCAACGUUUCUAAGCCUCUGGAAAAUAGAACAACUCACAAGACUGAGAGUGAUUAUGUGUCUAAAAGUGUAGAUAUUUGUGAGCAUGAAGAAAAGGAAAUAAGUUAUUUUUUCCCCAUUAGAUUUGUAACGGUAUUUUUACUUACAAAAGAAAUAAAAAUUAAAAACAUUAACUGGAUAUUGAAAACAAAUGAAAAAAACAUUGCCCAGUCUCUUCUGAGGAAAAUUGCCAAAGAGAGAUGAACCACAUUAUAAAAUAACCCUUUUGACCCUCAGGCAUUUUUAUCUUUCCUUAUUCCACUCAACUGAGCUUGAAUGGGUUGGCAAAUGUUUUAAAUGAAAAACAUGUUAAUGACUCAGAGUGUCAAGUUUCUUGGAUUAGUUGGUGGGAAAGGAGAAGUAUAGAAGGAAGAAAUAAUUAUUUCUUUCCCGUAUAAGUACAGGUAAUUAACAAGAAUUUAGCUCCUUUUAAGGUGGAUCAGUGACAAUUUUAAUUUUAUUCUUAGGACAGUCUUUUUUUUUUUUUGUAAAAGGAUCCUGUGAAAGGAUGAAAGGAUGGAAGGUGUCUUUUUAUUAACUUAAUGUCUUUAAAAGUAUCCAGAGAUAUUAUAAUAUUAACAUGAAAAAGAUUCUAUAUUUCUGAAGUGAUUCUAAAUUAUACAUCUUAUUUUUUGUGAUAGUAAGAUUAUUUAUAUUAGUGAACACACUGAUUUUACAUGUAUAACAAAAAAAGUUCAAGAAGAUAUGUAAAGAAAAAUUUAUUUUCCCUAAAUGAAAUAAAUAAUUGAUCACA
Molecule: long non-coding RNA, 1147 nt
Organism: Eptesicus fuscus (big brown bat)
Lineage: Eukaryota; Metazoa; Chordata; Mammalia; Chiroptera; Vespertilionidae
Exons: 3
Source: RefSeq, a predicted model, not a curated record